Molecule: ribosomal RNA, 433 nt
Filed under: uncultured bacterium
Lineage: Bacteria
Description: partial 16S ribosomal RNA
Rfam family: Bacterial small subunit ribosomal RNA
Source: RNAcentral
AACGAACGCUGGCGGCAUGCCUAACACAUGCAAGUCGAACGAGACCUUCGGGUCUAGUGGCGCACGGGUGCGUAACGCGUGGGAACCUGCCCUUAGGUUCGGAAUAACUCCCCGAAAGGGGUGCUAAUACCGGAUAAUGUCUUCGGACCAAAGAUUUAUCGCCUUUGGAUGGGCCCGCGUUGGAUUAGCUAGUUGGUAGGGUAAAAGCCUACCAAGGCGACGAUCCAUAGCUGGUCUGAGAGGAUGAUCAGCCACACUGGGACUGAGACACGGCCCAGACUACUACGGGAGGCAGCAGUGGGGAAUAUUGGAAAAUGAGCGAAAGCAUGAUCCAGCAAUGCCGCGUGAGUGAUGAAGGCCUUAGGGUUGUAAAGCUCUUUUACCCGGGAUGAUAAUGACAGUACCGGGAGAAUAAGCUCCGGCUAACUCCGUG